UGGGGAAUAUUGCACAAUGGGCGCAAGCCUGAUGCAGCCAUGCCGCGUGUGUGAAGAAGGCCUUCGGGUUGUAAAGCACUUUCAGCGGGGAGGAAGGCGGUGAGGUUAAUAACCUCACCGAUUGACGUUACCCGCAGAAGAAGCACCGGCUAACUCCGUGCCAGCAGCCGCGGUAAUACGGAGGGUGCAAGCGUUAAUCGGAAUUACUGGGCGUAAAGUGCACGCAGGCGGUUUGUUAAGUCAGAUGUGAAAUCCCCGGGCUCAACCUGGGAACUGCAUCUGAUACUGGCAAGCUUGAGUCUCGUAGAGGGGGGUAGAAUUCCAGGUGUAGCGGUGAAAUGCGUAGAGAUCUGGAGGAAUACCGGUGGCGAAGGCGGCCCCCUGGACGAAGACUGACGCUCAGGUGCGAAAGCGUGGGGAGCAAACAGG
Molecule: ribosomal RNA, 429 nt
Filed under: Chloroflexota bacterium
Lineage: Bacteria; Bacillati; Chloroflexota
Description: Chloroflexi bacterium partial 16S ribosomal RNA
Rfam family: Bacterial small subunit ribosomal RNA
Source: RNAcentral